Molecule: ribosomal RNA, 443 nt
Filed under: uncultured bacterium
Lineage: Bacteria
Description: partial 16S ribosomal RNA
Rfam family: Bacterial small subunit ribosomal RNA
Source: RNAcentral
CCUACGGGAGACUGCAGUGGGGAAUAUUGCACAAUGGGGGGAACCCUGAUGCAGCGACGCCGCGUGAGCGAGGAAGGAUUUCGGUAUGUAAAGCUCUAUCAGCAGGGACGAAGAAAGUGACGGGACCGGAGGAAUAAGCAACGGCUAACUACGUGCCAGCAGCCGCGGUAAUACGUAGUUGGCAAGCGUUAUCCGGAUUUACUGGGUUUAAAGGGCGUGGAGGCGGGGCAGGAAGUCAGAGGGGAAAACCACGGGCUCAACCGGUGGCCUGCAUUUGAAACGGUUUUUCUUGAGUACUGGUGAGGCAGUCGGAAUUCCUAGUGUAGCGGUUAAAUGCGUAGAUAUUAGGCGGAACCCCAGUGGCGCAGGCGGUCUGCUGGACCGCAACUGCCGCUGAGGCGCGAAAGCGUGGGGAUCAAACAGGAUUAGAUACCCGAGUAGUC